Long non-coding RNA from Phascolarctos cinereus (koala), 977 nucleotides. RefSeq lists it as uncharacterized. The record is from RefSeq and is a predicted model, not a curated record. NCBI's taxonomy places the organism in Eukaryota, Metazoa, Chordata, Mammalia, Diprotodontia, Phascolarctidae.
CCUUACCCCUACUCCAGUAGACUCCCCUUGGUGGGUUGUACAAGAAGGAUGGUUAUGGAGCACAAGUCCAACAAGAAGCUCGUGUUCUUAGUGGGCCACAAGAAAGCCUCCUUAUUCUGCACCUGAUUAACAAAGAAGCCUUAGUGCAGGAGUGAGAUACUCGGCAGGAGAGGCUUCUCUCACACCAACACACUGAAGGCGAUGAGAAAAUAGCCCCUGUUAGUUCAAGGACACCAGGUGCCUGAGUAUCUGGAGACAAAAUGGACCAAAAGUUUCAAAAGUUCAGAGGAGCCAUCAGAGAUCUAGCAACUAAAGUCAGUAGUGGAGUACCCAGCUGAUAGCAGCAGUAGCUGAGUCUGGUGAAGAUCAAGCUUGAGAAAUGAUCUGGUGAACUCUGCCCACUAGUGAAGUGAUCUAGCAACUGAGAUACGGGUGUGCAAUUGAGGGAGUGACUCAUCCAACUGUGAUAUCAUACCUAGAAGUGAACUUUAUGGGGACUCUGAGCAGAAAAAAAAAACCAAACCUACCAGAAAGUCCUCCUAGCCACAUGUGAUCCUUACAUGGUGCUUCUGUGCCUUUGUCAUUCAAGUUUGAGCCCACUCUCACCAGGAAUCUUGGGUGUAUAUGGGGUGUGGGGAGAGUUCCCCUCCCAGUUUGGGGGGCUGUUUCUGUAAAAACUGCCCUUGCAAUAACUGCAGAAUAAAUAUCCCCUUAUAAAAGCUCAUUAACUUUGGCCAACUGAUAUCAAUUAGUCAAUAUUGGUGGGAACAUACUGUAUAGGGACUUGAAUGAUAAAAUUAGAAAACCCCAGCCCUUCAGAGCAACCCCUGGAAUCCUGAGGGAAGCAGUAGCCAGUUGCCCUCUGGGGACCAACUUACUAGUGCUAGUGUGGCACUGGAGAGUGAGCUCAGGGGGAGUCAUGAGACAUUAAAUAUAAUUUUUUUGUGAUAUGAAGAGAAAAAUAAAAAAAAAACCUG